Molecule: transfer RNA, 76 nt
Filed under: Kyrpidia tusciae
Lineage: Bacteria; Bacillati; Bacillota; Bacilli; Caryophanales; Alicyclobacillaceae
Also listed under: 4 other names
Description: tRNA-Thr
Rfam family: tRNA
About the family: Transfer RNA (tRNA) molecules are approximately 80 nucleotides in length. Their secondary structure includes four short double-helical elements and three loops (D, anti-codon, and T loops). Further hydrogen bonds mediate the characteristic L-shaped molecular structure. tRNAs have two regions of fundamental functional importance: the anti-codon, which is responsible for specific mRNA codon recognition, and the 3' end, to which the tRNAs corresponding amino acid is attached (by aminoacyl-tRNA synthetases). tRNAs cope with the degeneracy of the genetic code in two manners: having more than one tRNA (with a specific anti-codon) for a particular amino acid; and 'wobble' base-pairing, i.e. permitting non-standard base-pairing at the 3rd anti-codon position.
Source: RNAcentral
GCCGGCGUAGCUCAGUAGGUAGAGCAACUGACUUGUAAUCAGUAGGUCGCGGGUUCGAUUCCUGUCGCCGGCUCCA